GGCGACGUAGCCAAGUGGUUAAGGCAGCGGUUUGCAAAACCGCCAUUCGUGGGUUCGAUUCCCACCGUCGCCUCCA
This 76-nucleotide transfer RNA is filed under the name Candidatus Peregrinibacteria bacterium CG2_30_44_17. RNAcentral's name for it is "tRNA-Cys". It matches the Rfam family "tRNA". From Rfam's summary of the family: Transfer RNA (tRNA) molecules are approximately 80 nucleotides in length. Their secondary structure includes four short double-helical elements and three loops (D, anti-codon, and T loops). Further hydrogen bonds mediate the characteristic L-shaped molecular structure. tRNAs have two regions of fundamental functional importance: the anti-codon, which is responsible for specific mRNA codon recognition, and the 3' end, to which the tRNAs corresponding amino acid is attached (by aminoacyl-tRNA synthetases). tRNAs cope with the degeneracy of the genetic code in two manners: having more than one tRNA (with a specific anti-codon) for a particular amino acid; and 'wobble' base-pairing, i.e. permitting non-standard base-pairing at the 3rd anti-codon position. RNAcentral also lists the same sequence under 4 other names. The record is from RNAcentral. Lineage: Bacteria; Candidatus Peregrinibacteriota.